RNAcentral lists this ribosomal RNA (447 nucleotides) under Triticum aestivum (bread wheat). RNAcentral describes it as "partial small subunit ribosomal RNA". The record is from RNAcentral. Lineage: Eukaryota; Viridiplantae; Streptophyta; Magnoliopsida; Poales; Poaceae.
AUGCGGGGACGUUUGAUCAAUUUGUCGCUGGAGAUGGGUGAUACCACACACUGCACUGCGACAACUUGGCUGACACAUCAUCCUGUCCCCCGAUCAGAUCAGAUCAGAUCAGAUCUGCUGAACAAAAAGACAGAUCCGUGCUGUUUUCGUAUUGAGUUCCUCCCACGAUUUAAAAAAGAAGAAAAAUCCCGUAAACGUGCUUGUUGGGUCUGGAUUGGCAAUGCGUACGUGGAGCCUAAGAAAAAUGGACUACUUGCACUUUGGCAUACGUUUCUUUCCUGCCUACCAUGUGGCAUGUGCCGCAUCGUGCCGUUGUUUGCUUGUUGUUUGGCCUGCUGCGCCACCAGAAAAACCACACUUGUUGGUCUCUGUAAAUUGUCAGAGAGCAACAACGUGAACGUAUCAAACUAUGAAAAUACAUCGAGUCUCCAUGCAAUGUCUCUGUAA